UGCUUAACACAUGCAAGUCGAACGAUGAACCACUUCGGUGGGGAUUAGUGGCGAACGGGUGAGUAACACGUGGGCAAUCUGCCCUGCACUCUGGGACAAGCCCUGGAAACGGGGUCUAAUACCGGAUAUGACCCUCGCAGGCAUCUGUGAGGGUGUAAAGCUCCGGCGGUGCAGGAUGAGCCCGCGGCCUAUCAGCUUGUUGGUGAGGUAACGGCUCACCAAGGCGACGACGGGUAGCCGGCCUGAGAGGGCGACCGGCCACACUGGGACUGAGACACGGCCCAGACUCCUACGGGAGGCAGCAGUGGGGAAUAUUGCACAAUGGGCGAAAGCCUGAUGCAGCGACGCCGCGUGAGGGAUGACGGCCUUCGGGUUGUAAACCUCUUUCAGCAGGGAAGAAGCGAAAGUGACGGUACCUGCAGAAGAAGCGCCGGCUAACUACGUGCCAGCAGCCGCGGUAAUACGUAGGGCGCAAGCGUUGUCCGGAAUUAUUGGGCGUAAAGAGCUCGUAGGCGGCUUGUCGCGUCGGUUGUGAAAGCCCGGG
This 544-nucleotide ribosomal RNA is filed under the name Streptomyces sp. Sp080513M2-27. Its description in RNAcentral is "bacterial SSU rRNA". It matches the Rfam family "Bacterial small subunit ribosomal RNA", at positions 45 to 606 of the family's 1533-position model. Lineage: Bacteria; Bacillati; Actinomycetota; Actinomycetes; Kitasatosporales; Streptomycetaceae. The record is from RNAcentral.